GAGUGUAGGAGAGUCGAUGGAUUCCAUGUGUAGCGGUGAAAUGCGUAUGUAUAUGGAGGAACACCAGUGGCGAAGGCGGUCGACUGGUCUAUCACUGACGUUUACUGCGAAAGCGUAGGAGCAAAUAGGAUUAAAUACCCUAGUAGUCUACGCCGUAAACGAUGAAUACUAAGUGUUGGACUAAUUUCGGUGCUGCAGCUAAGGCAUUAAAUACUCCGCCUGACCUAUAUGCUCGCUAGAGUGAAACUCAUGAGAAUUGACGUCGACCCCCUUCGCCCCUGGUGUUCC
RNAcentral lists this ribosomal RNA (288 nucleotides) under Spiroplasma endosymbiont of Drosophila melanogaster. RNAcentral's name for it is "partial 16S ribosomal RNA". It matches the Rfam family "Bacterial small subunit ribosomal RNA", at positions 642 to 941 of the family's 1533-position model. Lineage: Bacteria; Bacillati; Mycoplasmatota; Mollicutes; Entomoplasmatales; Spiroplasmataceae. The record is from RNAcentral.